Molecule: long non-coding RNA, 248 nt
Filed under: Mytilus galloprovincialis (Mediterranean mussel)
Lineage: Eukaryota; Metazoa; Mollusca; Bivalvia; Mytilida; Mytilidae
Source: RNAcentral
GUCUUUUCGUUGGUUUUCGUGUUUGCCUUGACGUUAAGUUGGUUUCUAUUUAUGAGUUUGAACAUCAGUUCAAUAUCACCGCCGCAUUUUUAGCUAGUGUUUUAUUAGAUAAUACAGAAGAGUAACCUAAAAAGUAGACAUAAGUCCACAUAACCCUCUGCCUCUUUUUUUCUAGUUUUUUUUUUAUCAGAAUAUAUGGAAAAUUAACUUACAAAGUAGACAUAAGUUCACAGAGUAAACUACAUGAU